CAAUAGCGUAUAUUAAAGUUGUUGCAGUUAAAAAGCUCGUAGUUGAAUUUCUGCUUAAAAAAAUCGCUGCAGCUCUGCUGAUGUGUGGUUGAGUUUAAGCAUCCCUUCAGAAUCUCUCCUGCACUUCACUGUGUGGGGUGUGGUUCUGAAAACUUUACUUUGAGAAAAUUAGAGUGUUUCAAGCAAGCUAUCGCUUUGAAUACUGCAGCAUGGAAUAAUAUCAUAAGACUUUGGUCUUAUUUUGUUGGUUUCUAAGGCUGAAGUAAUGAUUGAUAGGGACAGUUGGGGGCAUUCGUAUUUAACUGUCAGAGGUGAAAUUCUUGGAUUUGUUAAAGACGAACUACUGCGAAAGCAUUUGCCAGGGAUGUUUNCAUUAA
RNAcentral lists this ribosomal RNA (377 nucleotides) under uncultured eukaryote. Its description in RNAcentral is "partial 18S ribosomal RNA". It matches the Rfam family "Eukaryotic small subunit ribosomal RNA", at positions 592 to 976 of the family's 1831-position model. The record is from RNAcentral.